UACAGAGGUCCCAAGCGUUGUUCGGAUUCACUGGGCGUAAAGGGUGCGUAGGUGGCGAGGUAAGUUUGAUGUGAAAUCUCCGGGCUUAACCCGGAAACUGCAUUGAAUACUAUCUUGCUUGAGGGUUGGAGGGGGGACUGGAAUUCUCGGUGUAGCAGUGAAAUGCGUAGAUAUCGAGAGGAACACCAGUGGCGAAGGCGAGUCCCUGGACAACUCCUGACGCUGAGGCACGAAAGCGUGGGGAGCAAACGGG
Molecule: ribosomal RNA, 253 nt
Filed under: uncultured bacterium
Lineage: Bacteria
Description: partial 16S ribosomal RNA
Rfam family: Bacterial small subunit ribosomal RNA
Source: RNAcentral